UUCUACUGUAUAUUGGAUCUCCUCUAUUUAUUCGUCAUAUCUCCUUCAAUUGUGACCAUGAGGAUUGGAAAAAAAAAAAAAGAGUACAAAAGUUGCCAUAUAUCUUCUAAUUUUGCUGGAGAGAAAUGUAAGAAUUUCAGUAACACAUCCUAAUCUGGGUAAUGUAUCAUGAAAUAAAACAAACCACAAAGCCCAAUUCCUAGUCCUGAAGAAUAUACAUUCCCCUGCAUAUAUUUCCUGCGUGUACAGUGCAAGGUUCUUUUUCUUGACGCCAGCAGAUGUGCCCAAGGCCUAAUGGGGCUUCGAGUGCAACUUGCAUCUGCAAUUGUCCACCAAAAGAAUGAAGGCACUAUUACCACCAAGCCCUCCUCCCUCUUCCUCGAAUCCUGCGUCAUCACGGAAAUCCAAAAUCCAAAACUUCUGUACUAUAUACAGUCUACUGGCAUUCAGAUUUGUUAUUGCUAUCUUUUUACUCUAGCAAUGUCUACUGCCUGAGUCCCAGAUUCAAUGUCUGGUUCGGACACUGGAUUCCGAAUUGGCCGACAUUGACAUUGUUCGUGUACAAUUGAGAAAGUCCAUUCAUAUUCUGUUGGAAGUAACCUGAUUUAUCAAACCGUUGAUUCCUGAUUCCGCUUUCAACUUCUUCGUCCAGAUUAAUACUUUCAACCUUGGUGUUGCUUCUGAUAUUCGUAGGAGGAGCAUUAACAUCAUUCAGAAAAUUCAUAUUAUUGUUGUUCUGGAUGAGGUUGUUGACCUGCGCCUGAGCCUGGGCGUGAACGCCUGGAGCUUGAUUUGAAGGGCCCAAUUCCGGCAUUGGUUUGAGCCCUGCGAGUAUCGCCCAAUCAAAAUUGGCUGAAUCCAGGCGUUCGAGGUUCAGUUUUUCGGUUUUAAGAUAGCUCAAUCUUGGCAAGUUAGAAAACCGAUCAUCCAUUUCUGGUAAUGAUUCGAGCAUAUCAUCGAAUUGGGAUGAAGAAGAAGUCGUCGAAGAAGCAGCAUGGCUGUAUUCAUUGCUGCGUAAACCAGGCAUAAGAGGUUUUGGUCCACUUGAAUUCUUCUUAUAAAUUCGACAUAACACCCAUUCAUCUAGCUGAAAUAUACAAACACCAUAUACACAUUAAGAAUUGCAACCAGACAAUUGAAAAUGAGGUAGAAUUGCACAUUUGGUCUUCCAGUUAUUGUGAAUUUUGACUUUGGCCGUUGAGCCAAAGUCAUGUUAACCUCCAAUCAAUUAAAAUGUACAUUCCUGGUCCCUUUAUUAUACAAAACAUGUUCUAUUUACACUUUUUUCCAGAUUAACCAAAUUACUUUUAACAUAUAGAAGCAUACCAGGUGCAAAGGUACAAAUUCAUCGUAUAGAACCACCCACCCCUCCCCUCCCGGCCCGAUUUAUGUAACACCCUUUCUUGCACUGACUUUAUGCGACUAUUUUCGUUUUAUUCCAUAAAAAAAUAAGGGACAUUUUUUCACAUUCAAUGACAAUUUAACUUCAAACUACUCAUUUUACCCCUAAUGAAAUGUUCAAUAACCACAUAAAUUUUUAUGGCUUAUUUUUAAUAAUUCACUUAAUUUGCAAAGAUUCACAAGAAAGUGAGUCGAAAGUGCACAUUUUAGUUGAUUGAAGGUUAAAUGUACUUAAAAAGAUCAUAAGUACUAAAAUUUAUGAAUAAUUGAGGAAUUAAAAGUGCAAAUUUUCGUGAAAAAAAAAAAAAGAAAGGAGUAAUGUGAAAUUACCUUUGAACUUCCAUUUUUCCUUGAAGUUUCAAAAAGUCUAUAUUCAUGCAUGAUCCAAUUAGUCUUGGAUCCUUUUGGUGCUUUACCAACAUAAAACACAAGCGCUUUCUUAAUUCCAACUUUCCUCCCUUGUGAUGUUAUAACCUUAUCAGUACCCGUUGCUUUCCAAUAACCCGACCCGGCAACUCUAUUGGGUCGAGAUCCAUUUGGAUACUUCCUAUCUCUUGGACUAAAAAAGUACCAUUCUUUUUCUCCAAACAUUGCCUUACCUAUAACAAAUCAAACACGAAAAAAAUCAUCAAUUAACAAAUUCAAAUAAUUAAUAAUACAAAAAUAUAAUUUAAAAAUAAUUGGUGAAGAAUUGAGUCAAAAUUAAUUUAACAUUUCCUGUUAGUCGUAGUGGCAAACUUCCAAAGCUACAAAUAUCUCAUUGUAUGCGUAAUUUACAAGUUUCAAAAGCCCUUUUUUCCCCAUAAAUUCCAACCUCAUUCAAAUUCGAAUACCUAAAUUAGUGUUUCAUUUUAUAUAACACUAUUUUCUUAUUAGUUCAUUAAAAGCAUCUCAAUCGCUACACUCUAAAAAUAAUUUGACUUUAGAUUUUUUAUUACCCUUAAUGACAUAUUUUUAAAGCUAGAAAAAUAUAAUGAUACAUUUAAGACUAUAAAAAAAAACUCUUUUCCUUUUGAUCGGUCCAAUAUCACAAAGUAAUACCAACUAGGAUUACGGUGUGACAGAUAGAAUUCGUUCAUUAUUAACUAGAGGUCUCAAUUUCGAUAAGCUAAACGCAAAUUUGAAUUAAACAAGCCUCGAUUCAAUAUCAGAUACUGAGCAAAAAUUCCAAAAGAAGAUUGAACUAGAAACUUACUAGGUAGAACCCAAGGAUCAAAUUUGUACAAAUCAAUUUCUCCAAUAAUUUGUAGAGGAAAAUUAUGGCCAGCAACUUUCUUACACAAAUAUUGAACUAAAAGCUCUUCAUCAGUCGGAUAAAA
Capsicum annuum is the source of this 2720-nucleotide long non-coding RNA. RefSeq lists it as uncharacterized. NCBI's taxonomy places the organism in Eukaryota, Viridiplantae, Streptophyta, Magnoliopsida, Solanales, Solanaceae. The record is from RefSeq and is a predicted model, not a curated record. The transcript has 2 exons.